This is a long non-coding RNA of Ipomoea nil (Japanese morning glory), 128 nucleotides long. RefSeq lists it as uncharacterized. Lineage: Eukaryota; Viridiplantae; Streptophyta; Magnoliopsida; Solanales; Convolvulaceae. The record is from RefSeq and is a predicted model, not a curated record. The transcript has 3 exons.
GUGGUCCAUAGUAGCCACUGAUACUGGUUAGGUAUUCCUCUGGGAAUUGUAGCUUUACCUGAAAUGAAAUGGAAGAAAUUAAAAUUGGCCACUUUAGGAGUAGGAUCCUAAUCUAAAACAUUAUUAUG